Molecule: small RNA, 168 nt
Filed under: Dasypus novemcinctus (nine-banded armadillo)
Lineage: Eukaryota; Metazoa; Chordata; Mammalia; Cingulata; Dasypodidae
Description: TUC338 (ENSDNOG00000038598.1)
Source: RNAcentral
GUGAUAACCCUACAGCCUCUUCUGUAUACCCACAGAACAUACUCACCACAGGUAGUGACAGUGUCAGCAUCCCCACACUGCCCACCACAUACCUCACCCUGGCUUGGAGAGGCCACCUCUAGAGGGGAGAGAAGAGUUUGAUUCUAUGUCUUUGCCUUUGAGACUUCA